GUAUCCAUCCCGACCGACUGAACCCAGAGGUCUGAUGGCCGACUCACAUGAAACUCGCCGACCGACGGAGGGGCCCGACGCCACUCAGCUGGCUACCGACCUAGGGUCGGUCGACUCCUCCGAUCGCCGUACAGCCGCCAGACCUUGUCAGCUCUGACACGGACAUGCGGCGCGGUUACCUAGGGGCAUUGUCCCGCCGAGGGCAUUGUCAACCCUGGUGAUUGGAUAGCCACACGGCGACAUGACAUUUUCACGGCGACUCUGACAGUCCACAGU
RNAcentral lists this long non-coding RNA (276 nucleotides) under Elaeis guineensis (African oil palm). Its description in RNAcentral is "long non-coding RNA (EGUI_LNC030637)". Lineage: Eukaryota; Viridiplantae; Streptophyta; Magnoliopsida; Arecales; Arecaceae. The record is from RNAcentral.